AAGUCGUAACAAGGUUUCCGUAGGUGAACCUGCGGAAGGAUCAUUACUGAAGAUAAGUGCGCAAGUGCUUAAUUUCCUUCAAACCCUCACUUGAAUGUCCGGAAGCAAGGUUUCUUGUGGAUGGUGUUCAAGUGUGUUUUACAUCUUGUGUGUAAUAACCUGUCUGAUAAUACAUAACAAACCAAAA
Molecule: unclassified non-coding RNA, 187 nt
Filed under: plant metagenome
Description: partial contains small subunit ribosomal RNA and internal transcribed spacer 1
Rfam family: Eukaryotic small subunit ribosomal RNA (bases 1-46)
Source: RNAcentral